AUUAAUGUUUACAACCUACUCUUAAACUUUAUAAACAAAAGUUAUAACUAGCAAAAUGUCUAGAAAAUAACAUGUCCAUAAACAAGUCUAUCAUAUUACCUUUUUCCCAAAAUAUAAGUAAAUAAAAAACACCUACGAAAUAACACAAAAUUGGCUUGGAUCACCUCUCAGAAAUCACACCCUUCACACCAGCACACAAUUAAUCUGUAAGGGUUUAAAAAGAGUGAGUGAGUUUAACAAGCUCAGUGAAUGCUUAGAAUAACUACAAUGCAAAUAAUUCAUCAAGCAUCAAUGAAACAACCAUAUAGCAUAACCUCAAUAGUUCUAAUUCUAGUGUCAUAUUAUACGUACUUGUGCA
RNAcentral lists this long non-coding RNA (358 nucleotides) under Gossypium barbadense (sea-island cotton). RNAcentral's name for it is "long non-coding RNA (GBAR_LNC013429)". Lineage: Eukaryota; Viridiplantae; Streptophyta; Magnoliopsida; Malvales; Malvaceae. The record is from RNAcentral.